CGGGGAAACGCAGGCUCCCCGCCAGACGGCCGAUACCGUCCAAGCUCUGC
This 50-nucleotide non-coding RNA is filed under the name unclassified sequences. Its description in RNAcentral is "chromate-resist RNA". It matches the Rfam family "chrB-b RNA". The record is from RNAcentral. RNAcentral also lists the same sequence under 1 other name.